AGGUCCCUACGGGACGCAGCAGUGGGGAAUAUUGCACAAUGGAGGGAACUCUGAUGCAGCGACGCCGCGUGAGUGAAGAAGUAAUUCGUUACGUAAAGCUCUAUCAGCAGGGAAGAAAGUGACGGUACCUGAAAAAGAAGCUCCGGCUAAAUACGUGCCAGCAGCCGCGGUAAUACGUAUGGAGCAAGCGUUAUCCGGAUUUACUGGGUGUAAAGGGAGAGUAGGUGGCAGAGCAAGUCCGAAGUGAAAACACAAAGCUCAACUAUGGGAAUGCUUUAGAAACUGCUCAGCUAAAGUGGAGGAGG
RNAcentral lists this ribosomal RNA (305 nucleotides) under uncultured bacterium. Its description in RNAcentral is "bacterial SSU rRNA". It matches the Rfam family "Bacterial small subunit ribosomal RNA", at positions 334 to 655 of the family's 1533-position model. The record is from RNAcentral.